Molecule: long non-coding RNA, 620 nt
Filed under: Gossypium barbadense (sea-island cotton)
Lineage: Eukaryota; Viridiplantae; Streptophyta; Magnoliopsida; Malvales; Malvaceae
Description: long non-coding RNA (GBAR_LNC014612)
Source: RNAcentral
GGCUGUAUGAUGGAGAUGUAGGGCUAUAGGAGGGUGAGGUUGGGCUGUAAGAAGGAGAUGUCGGACUGUAUGAUGGCGAUGUUGGGCUGUAUGAUGGAGACGUGGGGCUGUAUGCAGGUGAAGUUGGGCUAUAUGCCGGUGAAGUAGGGCUGUAGCUUGGUGAAGUUGGACUAUAACUUGGUGAAGUAGGACUGUAACUUGGAGACGUAGGGCUGUAGCUUGGAGACGUAGGGCUGUAGCUUGGAGAGGUAGGGCUAUAGCUCGGUGAGGUUGGAGAAUAAGAGGGACUUGUAGGUGAGUAGGCUGGACUUGUUGGGCUGUAACCUGGUGAACUAGGACUGUAAGUAGGUGAUGUGGGGCUGUAACCAGGCGAGGUAGGACUGUAGCCAGGAGAUGUAGGGCUGUAACCAGGCGAGGUAGGACUGUAGCCAGGAGAUGAAGGACUGUAGCCAGGAGAUGAUGGGCUGUAACCAGGGGAUGACGUGGGAGAGAAUGCCAUCCCACCAACAUAAGGUGAGAACUGAGCAUCCGAAAUGGGAGAGAGACGGAGAUUUGGGCUCAGCAAGUAACUUGGAGACAUCAUGCCUUCAUGAUAUGGAGUUCCUGAUACUGGAGAUCGA